UUAAUGGUGCAUCUACAAAGGGCUUAGAGUUUGAUCCGAUCAAAUCCUAUUCUGUAAGUUCACUAGAUUGUGUCGGUUCAUCUACCUAUCGAACUUCAUCAAGUUCAACCUUUGAGGCAUGAGUUUUUUCAUCAAGAAACUCCUUUUCUAGAAAGAUUGCCUUAAGGCUAAUGAACACCUUUUGUUCAUUAGAAAGAUAGAAAUAAUAUCCCUUAGU
This 217-nucleotide long non-coding RNA is filed under the name Elaeis guineensis (African oil palm). RNAcentral's name for it is "long non-coding RNA (EGUI_LNC063274)". Lineage: Eukaryota; Viridiplantae; Streptophyta; Magnoliopsida; Arecales; Arecaceae. The record is from RNAcentral.